AUUCUUUUUCCCAGAAUCAGAAGUAGUCAGAGUAACAUCCUUGAAGAACUUGAGAUCAGAAGGUAACCUCCAUGGUAGCUUGCCAUCCUUUCCGAUACCCAUAUCCCUAGUUGCAGCCACAACAACUUGAUAAGUUCUUUGGUGGAGCAGGCUGUAUAUUGGCAUUACCAUUGGAAAGGUUUGCCUUGGAUUCACCAGCCAUGAUUGAAAAGAAAGCCUGGCAGAAACUUCUUGAUGAUGCCACAGAACUAACACUGCACACCCAACUUUUGUGGAAGUGCAGUAGAAGCGAUCUGAGACUAAAUCGAGAAAUAUUGAAAUCAGAAAACGUCCAAAAUCAGUUUGAAGACGAUCUGGGCAAGUGUGGAGCAAUCUUCACCUCGUAAAAUUAGGGUUUGGGUGAUAAAAAAGAGAGAGGAUUGUGAGAUAAGAGUAAAGUAG
Molecule: unclassified non-coding RNA, 441 nt
Filed under: Hevea brasiliensis (rubber tree)
Lineage: Eukaryota; Viridiplantae; Streptophyta; Magnoliopsida; Malpighiales; Euphorbiaceae
Source: RNAcentral